GGGUCUCUGUGACCAGGAUUUGUUAAUCAAUAGGAUCCUGUAAGGACACGGAGUCCCAGGUCCCAGGACAGCGAGGCCGGGGAGGCUGGGCCGCAGCAGGUCGGCGGGGCGCCAAGGCGAGCUUUGGCACCAGGAAGAGGCAGGGACCCCAGGAAGCACCCACAGCUGCCCUGGCCCCCAGGUAGCGGCAGGUGCAUCCCCGGGAAGUCGGGGCACCCAGCCCGGGAGACAGUGCUGCAGCCACACGGUACUCAGCACAGCGGGCCGAACACUGGGUCAACACACAUCAGAUCCACGUACAUCAAGAAUACCGAUGGCAAUGCAGCUGCUUUUCUAAGUGAAAAAUAAAGGAGCGCGUGACAAGGACUUUUGUCCUCAUCAGCCCGAGGUCUGUGUCUGGCCAGCAACAUGAGACAGAGGAAUCACCCGCGUGUGCAGAUGAAGACAGCAAGGCUUACGGACGCGAUAAAAAUCAGGCGGUUAAUGGGUGAUGACACUGGUAACGUGUUUUACUCUCAACCAUGAAAUCAAGUGUCUCCACACUGUGUUCCCCGGCGCCUGAAGAGGAGAGAAUGCCGUGGCCAAAAGGGAUUGGGAAAUGUCGAAUACCGGAUUCACUUUUGGAGAUUCACCACGCACAUCAGCACGCUCUGAGGUUCGAGGGAGGGGUACUGCAGGGCGAGA
Nyctereutes procyonoides (raccoon dog) is the source of this 684-nucleotide long non-coding RNA. RefSeq lists it as uncharacterized. The record is from RefSeq and is a predicted model, not a curated record. NCBI's taxonomy places the organism in Eukaryota, Metazoa, Chordata, Mammalia, Carnivora, Canidae. The transcript has 3 exons.